UCGGCGUAGUUGUGCAGCGUAUAGCUUUGUUGAUGAUGUAGAACGUCUUGCAUGCGAAUUUGUUUCUCUUUUUCUCUUCCUUUGUCUUGACCUGAUGAUGAUACGACUCUAGCCCCCUGAUCUUCAAGUAAGAAGUAGUACUAGUGGGAGUAUUGUGCCACAUAUAUAUUAGCAACAACAGCGUUUGGAGUCUGCUUUCGGAUCCACUUUUUGUGAUAGAU
This 221-nucleotide long non-coding RNA is filed under the name Hordeum vulgare. Its description in RNAcentral is "long non-coding RNA (HVUL_LNC008522)". The record is from RNAcentral. Lineage: Eukaryota; Viridiplantae; Streptophyta; Magnoliopsida; Poales; Poaceae.